Molecule: long non-coding RNA, 1280 nt
Organism: Astatotilapia calliptera (eastern happy)
Lineage: Eukaryota; Metazoa; Chordata; Actinopteri; Cichliformes; Cichlidae
Source: Ensembl
AAGCUACUGCUGACUAAAGUAUUGUUGCUGACCAAGUCCAUCCCUUCAUAACCACAGUAUAUCCAUCUUUUCAAGACUGCUUCCAACAAGACAACACACCAUGUCGCAAAGCUUAAAUCAUUUCAAACUAUUUUACUGAACAUGACAGGGAGUUUACUGUUCUCUGGCCUCCACAGUUACCAGAUCCCAAUCUGGCUUUACACAGGGCACCCUUGAGAUGUGAUGGAAUGAGAGAUUAGAAUAAUGGAUAUACAUCUGAAAAAUCUGUGCAACUGUGUGAUGCUGUCAUGUUAAUAUGAACCAAAAUCUCUAAGGAAUGUUUACAGUUCCUUUUUGAUUCUAUGUCACAAAUACUGAAGGCAACAGGGCGUCCAACCCAGUACUAGUAGGGUGUAAGUAAUGGAGUGGCUUGUGAGUGAAUGUACUAGGCUUCGGGAUGGAUUUGUUCUUAAAUUAUUGACAGCCGGACUUAUUAUUUUUAUUUCUUAAAGAUUGUUAAAAAAAAAAAACAAAUCACCUUUUUUGCAUAUGUUUAGAGUACUUUCUGAUUUGUAAAGUAAUAAAAAAAAGCACUGUAAAGUUUUAAAACCUUUGACUCUAAUGUGGCAGCAAAAUAAAAAAAGUUAAAUGCCUUACCCAGUGUUUGGAUUUCUACUUUAAAAUGCAAAUUGAUGCAUUUUUUUUUUUUUUUUUUUAAAUGACAUCAGAAACAGCAGUAUGCGACAUUACGUGAUGGCAGAGCUUCAGUUCAUCCUUUGUCAUUUUUUUUUUUUUUUUUUUUUAAUAAAUAGGACAGGGGGAAUGAAUGAGAGAGAGAGGGGGAGAGAAAGAAAGAAAACCAAAGGGGAGAAGAGAGGGUGAGAAGGGGGGGGAAGAGAGAGAAAAAAAAAAAAACUCCUGGGUCACCUGUAUGGAGAAAAAAAAAAAAAAACAAACAAACAAAAACAAACAGAGGAGACAGCAAACAACAAAGAGCAACAUAAUAAUAGAGAAAACAAAGCACCAUCACAAUAAACUAGCUAGUCAUAGAUAUCAGUAUUUACUAAGUAAUAAACGAUAUUGUGCAGCACGCAAGAUAGACAGCGCACAGUGUGCUUUGAGGCAGCAGCCAAGAAAGCUUUAGUCCGCGUCUUCCAAGGUUGAGGUCACCGCCAAGAAUGAGUGUGCAAUCAAGGUGUUCAGAGAGUGCACUAAAAAAACCGUGGAAGAAUGAGGGUUCAUCAACAUUUGGACCAUAUAUACUAACAAUACAUAGUUUUUUGUUCAAUAUUGAUAGUUUA